GGAUGAUUACAUAAUUACCUUGAGAUAAUUAUUACCUUGGCUACAAGAACAAGCGUGGUUCUAUUCUGGGGUUGAACAGGCCGUUGCUAGGCAGAUGUCAUUGCAGAAGUAGUUGUGUUUUGUUUUGUUUUGUUUUGUUUUAGUUUUGAGAUGGAGUCUUGCUCCGUAGCCCGGGCUGGAGUGCAGUGGCGCCAUCUCGGUUUACUGCAAGCUCCGCCUCCCGAUUGACGUCAUUCUCCUGCCUCAGCCUUUUGAGUAACUAAGACUACAGGCGGCUGCCACCAGCGGCUAAUUUUUUUGCAUUUUUAGUAGAGACGGGGUUUCACCGUGUUAGCCAGGAUGGUCUCGAUAUCCUGAGCUCGUGAUACACCCACCUCGGCCUCCCAAAGUCCUGGGAUUACAGGCGUGAGCCCCCGCGCCCGGCCAGUAGUUGUUUUGUUUUUAGUGUAAGGUUGUGAUGGCGUUUGUGCAAGAUUGUGGUCUUUUGUGAUACUUUUUAUUAUCAGACAUUUUUGCAUGAUAAUCUUCUCUUUAUUACCUUUCCUAGCUCUAUUUGUCAUUUUUUAUUGCUGUUGUUCUUGUUGCUUUUUGUUGUUUGUGUACAUUUUUUUUUUUUUUUUUUCCCUGUAAGUGACUCCUGGAAGUUGAACCUGACGAAAAGGCACUGCUCUGGGAGUGGACCAUUUGGAUGAGAGAUUUAUAUGCAAUCAACAUGUAAGAAUAGAGCUUUGUAUUGGUAAGUUGUCAUUGAAUAACAAACCACUCUAUAAAUAAAACAAUUUAUUAUUUAUCACCAGCCUAUUGGUUAACUAGGCAGUUUUCCUUAUGUAGAACAGGCUCUGCUGAUCUUGACCGGGGUUCAUAUGCUCGAGAUUUAGCUUUCCUCCAUAAAUUCUUUCAUCCUCCUACAGGCUAGUCCAGACUUGGCCUCAGGUCUGAGGCAGAAAUCCAAUGAAAGCAGUAGCACACAGGUUUCUGAGACCUGGACCUUAAAAUAACACAAUUCACUUUUGCUGCAUUUCAUUAGUCAAAGUACAUACUAUGCUGCUCAGCUUAUAUUCAAGAGAUGAUGAAAAAAAGAAAAAAGAAACUCCACCUCUUGAAGUAAAGAACUUGUGAAUUCACAUUCUAUAGGAUAUAAGGAAAGGAAAUUAUUGACUGG
Molecule: long non-coding RNA, 1162 nt
Filed under: Macaca mulatta (Rhesus monkey)
Lineage: Eukaryota; Metazoa; Chordata; Mammalia; Primates; Cercopithecidae
Description: lncRNA (ENSMMUG00000060468.1)
Source: RNAcentral